RNAcentral lists this long non-coding RNA (1114 nucleotides) under Anas platyrhynchos platyrhynchos (common mallard). RNAcentral describes it as "lncRNA (ENSAPLG00000021017.1)". Lineage: Eukaryota; Metazoa; Chordata; Aves; Anseriformes; Anatidae. The record is from RNAcentral.
GGGGGUAGCUUGGGGGUUGUGGCUGGAGAAGCCAGCAGAGAGGAGGCUGGGGCCAAGGGGUUUUCAGGGCAGGUGGUGCAGGGAGCACCCUGGGGAGGCUGCGUCCAGUGGGGUCCCCAAAAUCAAGGGCACCGCGCUGAGGUCUGGUGUCUGGGUGUGAGGCUCCUGUCAGGGGGCGGUGGGGCAGGGUGGGCUGAGCGCUGUACUCCAAGGGGGGAGAAUCUGCCGCUGCCCUGCUGAGCUGCUGAGCUGCUGAGCUGUCUCUUCCCCUCUGCAGGGCAAAACCUGGGCUUCCUCCUGGAAAUCCCGCAGGAUGCAGUCACUGGCACCGUGGGGCACUCCGUGCUCCUUCCCAUCUCCUACAGAUGCAACAGCACCUCUUGCUUCCCACUGUCAAUUAAGUGGCUGUUUGGUCACACCUCACAAAGAACCAUCUCCUGCACCGUGCAGAAGUGCUCUCUGGAUGAUGGGGGGGCUCCCAAGAACUGCUCCACAAACUGCUUCCCCCAUCCUGCACAUUGGGGCCGUGUUGUGCUCUUCCCCGAGAACGCAUCCCUGCUGCUAUGGGACCUGCGGCUCAGUGACAGCGGGGUGUACACCGUCAGCCUCCAGCACCAAAUACAAAUCAGGAACAUCACCCUGACCGUGCUCCAGCAGCCUGUCACCCCAGACCAUUCCAGCGAAGGGAGAAACCUGGGCUUCCUCGUGGAAAUCCCGCAGGAUGCAGUCACUGGCACCGUGGGGCAGUCCGUGCUCCUGCCCGUCUCCUACAGAUGCAACAGCACCUCUUGCUUCCCGGUGGCAAUUCAUUGGCUGUUUAGUCACCCCUUAGAAACAAUCAUUGCCUGCACAGUGCAGAACUGCUCCCUGGGUGAUGGGGGGUCUCCCAAGAACUGCUCCACAAAAUGGUACCCCUAUCCUACACAUCGGGGCCGUGUUGAGCUCUUCCCCGAGAACGCAUCCCUGCUGCUGCGGGACCUGCGGCUCAGUGACAGCGGGGUGUACACCGUCAGCUUCCAACAGCACCAAAGACAAAGCAGGCACAUCACCCUGACCGUGCUCCAGCAGCCUUUCCCCACAGAACCUUCCAGCAAAGGUAAGUGUCCCUGUGCUG